RNAcentral lists this ribosomal RNA (1063 nucleotides) under Lactiplantibacillus plantarum. RNAcentral's name for it is "bacterial SSU rRNA". It matches the Rfam family "Bacterial small subunit ribosomal RNA", at positions 442 to 1497 of the family's 1533-position model. The record is from RNAcentral. Lineage: Bacteria; Bacillati; Bacillota; Bacilli; Lactobacillales; Lactobacillaceae.
AAGAAGAACAUAUCUGAGAGUAACUGUUCAGGUAUUGACGGUAUUUAACCAGAAAGCCACGGCUAACUACGUGCCAGCAGCCGCGGUAAUACGUAGGUGGCAAGCGUUGUCCGGAUUUAUUGGGCGUAAAGCGAGCGCAGGCGGUUUUUUAAGUCUGAUGUGAAAGCCUUCGGCUCAACCGAAGAAGUGCAUCGGAAACUGGGAAACUUGAGUGCAGAAGAGGACAGUGGAACUCCAUGUGUAGCGGUGAAAUGCGUAGAUAUAUGGAAGAACACCAGUGGCGAAGGCGGCUGUCUGGUCUGUAACUGACGCUGAGGCUCGAAAGUAUGGGUAGCAAACAGGAUUAGAUACCCUGGUAGUCCAUACCGUAAACGAUGAAUGCUAAGUGUUGGAGGGUUUCCGCCCUUCAGUGCUGCAGCUAACGCAUUAAGCAUUCCGCCUGGGGAGUACGGCCGCAAGGCUGAAACUCAAAGGAAUUGACGGGGGCCCGCACAAGCGGUGGAGCAUGUGGUUUAAUUCGAAGCUACGCGAAGAACCUUACCAGGUCUUGACAUACUAUGCAAAUCUAAGAGAUUAGACGUUCCCUUCGGGGACAUGGAUACAGGUGGUGCAUGGUUGUCGUCAGCUCGUGUCGUGAGAUGUUGGGUUAAGUCCCGCAACGAGCGCAACCCUUAUUAUCAGUUGCCAGCAUUAAGUUGGGCACUCUGGUGAGACUGCCGGUGACAAACCGGAGGAAGGUGGGGAUGACGUCAAAUCAUCAUGCCCCUUAUGACCUGGGCUACACACGUGCUACAAUGGAUGGUACAACGAGUUGCGAACUCGCGAGAGUAAGCUAAUCUCUUAAAGCCAUUCUCAGUUCGGAUUGUAGGCUGCAACUCGCCUACAUGAAGUCGGAAUCGCUAGUAAUCGCGGAUCAGCAUGCCGCGGUGAAUACGUUCCCGGGCCUUGUACACACCGCCCGUCACACCAUGAGAGUUUGUAACACCCAAAGUCGGUGGGGUAACCUUUUAGGAACCAGCCGCCUAAGGUGGGACAGAUGAUUAGGGUGAAGUCGUAACAAGGU